CUUCUUAAUUCGGCGCUGUGACGCAGAGGUUCCAGAAGAACUGCGAUUUAAAACUCACGCCAUGUUACACGGAAAAUAUGGAUAAUUGCAAAUUAGACGACUUGUUUACGAAUAUGGAGAGGGAGAUGAGUGAAGACAGGAAGCUGUGCAGUUUACUGAACGAGAUGCGAUUGGACGGGUCGCUGUGUGACGCGGUGCUCAGAGUGGACGAAGUGGACUUCAAGGUCCACAAGAACAUCCUCUCGGCGUACAGCCAGCACUUCAGAUCUCUAUUCACAAGAUGUAGCAAUCUGGAUCAGAGAGUGUACAACAUCACUGGUGUAUCUCCAGAAAUCAUGAAUCUUAUAAUCCAAUACAUGUACACGCAAGACAUUCAAGUCACCACCAAUAAAGUGGAGGCUCUCUUGGAUGCAGCCAAUCACUUGCUUAUCCAAGACCUUGCAUUGAGCUGCUGUAAAUUCCUUCAGGAUCAUCUAAACCCGGAUAACUGCUUAAGGAUUUGGCAAUACGCUGACAAUAAUGCGUACUACGAGCUGCGGGAUCAGGCCUACAUGUACACGUUGCAUCACUUCGAGGACGUUGUUUUUUCACCAUCUGGAAAGUUCCUGGAUUUGACCGUGGAGCAGCUCAGUGACAUCCUGGAGAAGGAUGAGCUGAACAUCAAGGAGGAGAAAACAGCUUUCCAAGCUAUAAUCCUGUGGAUCAGGCAUGAACCCAGCGUCCGAAAGCAGCAAAUAGUGAACCUAUUGCCAAAGGUGCGGCUGGCUCUGGUGCCUCUGGAAUACUUUUUGGAAAAUAUAAAGAAAAACCCGGUGGUCAGCAGUGUGUGUGAGUGUCAACCCAUCAUCACCCGUGCCAUGAAGGCCAUGUACACCUCCAAAAUGGCUGAACUUAACACCAGACUCUCGGAUCCGUUUACCCGUCCACGGCUCCCGUAUUCCAUCUUGUUUGCCAUUGGUGGCUUCAGUGACGAAUCUCCAACGAACAUCGUGGAAACUUACGACUCGAAGCUGGACAGCUGGAUGUGCAUCUCCAGCAGAGUAGAGCAAGCUCGAGCGUGUCAUGGCACAGUGUUCUUGGACGGUUUGGUGUAUGUUAUUGGUGGCUUUGAUAGUAUGGAGUACUUAAACUCCACGUGCACUUUCAAUCCCCUGGAUGGAACGUGGAAUGAGGUGGCGCCCAUGCACUCGCACCGCAGCUAUGUUAGCGUUACCGUGUUAGAUGGAUUCAUCUAUGCCAUGGGAGGCUUCAAUGGCACCAUACGGCUUAACACAGCUGAACGUUAUCAACCAUGCACCAACCAGUGGAGCCUCAUCCCAUCCAUGCACGAGCAACGAAGUGACGCCAGUGCUGCCACCUUAAAUGGCAAGAUCUACAUCUGUGGAGGCUUCAAUGGAAAUGAGUGUCAUUUCACGGCUGAGUGUUUUGACCCUCAUCAUUAUCAGUGGACACUGAUCGUGCGGAUGCACAUGCGCAGGAGUGGUGUAGGCGUCAUUGCGCUGAACAACCAAUUGUUUGCUGUAAGAACUGAAAGUAACACACACAAAUACAAACACACAACUAAAAAUUAAACCAUGUGACUUAUGUACUGAUAUUAGGAUAGAAAUUUCAAGCGGUAAACAAAAAUGACAUCUAAAAAUGAGACUGUGGUAAAUGUAAAAAUAAUUCUAUGAAAACUUGAAAUAAAUGAAGUUCAUAUGAUUGUUCUGUAAGUGACUGGAUCGAGACAUGGUUCUAUUUGGACUGUUUAUGUUAAUUUUUUCCUUCACACUGACAGAGAGAAAUCUGAUGUUUUAUAGAUUGGAGGAUCAGAUGGAGUCAAUCAGACGCAGAGCAUUGAAGCCUUUAACCCUCGCACCAACACCUGGAGGUUUCUUUCCCCCAUGUUUAACCCACACAGCAACUUUGGCAUCGAGGUGAUGGAUGAUCGCCUGUAUGUGAUUGGUGGCUACAGUACUGAAGGCACAACCUCCAGAUGUGAAUACUACGACGUGUAUAAAAACAAGUGGUUCGAAAUCCAGAACAUGAACAUUUGCCACAGUGCAGUUAGCUGCUGUGUGGUUUCUGGGCUUCCCAACAUCACCGACUACACCACAGAACGUG
Tachysurus vachellii is the source of this 2103-nucleotide RNA transcript. It is a transcript of the gene named kelch-like protein 10, with no coding region annotated. The transcript is spliced from 6 exons. Lineage: Eukaryota; Metazoa; Chordata; Actinopteri; Siluriformes; Bagridae. The record is from RefSeq and is a predicted model, not a curated record.